RNAcentral lists this ribosomal RNA (1209 nucleotides) under uncultured bacterium. RNAcentral's name for it is "bacterial SSU rRNA". It matches the Rfam family "Bacterial small subunit ribosomal RNA", at positions 28 to 1233 of the family's 1533-position model. The record is from RNAcentral.
AUUGAACGCUGGCGGCAUGCCUUACACAUGCAAGUCGAACGGUAGCGGGCCUUCGGGUGCCGACGAGUGGCGAACGGGUGAGUAAUGUAUCGGAACGUACCAUUGAGUGGGGGAUAACGUAGCGAAAGUUACGCUAAUACCGCAUAUUCUCUCCGGAGGAAAGCAGGGGACCGCAAGGCCUUGCGCUCUUUGAGCGGCCGAUAUCAGAUUAGCUAGUUGGUGAGGUAAAGGCUCACCAAGGCGACGAUCUGUAGCGGGUCUGAGAGGAUGAUCCGCCACACUGGAACUGAGACACGGUCCAGACUCCUACGGGAGGCAGCAGUGGGGAAUUUUGGACAAUGGGGGCAACCCUGAUCCAGCCAUGCCGCGUGAGUGAAGAAGGCCUUCGGGUUGUAAAGCUCUUUCGGCCGGGAAGAAAUCGCAUGGGUUAAUACCCUGUGCGGAUGACGGUACCGGCAUAAGAAGCACCGGCUAACUACGUGCCAGCAGCCGCGGUAAUACGUAGGGUGCGAGCGUUAAUCGGAAUUACUGGGCGUAAAGCGUGCGCAGGCGGUUUUGUAAGACAGGCGUGAAAUCCCCGGGCUCAACCUGGGAACUGCGUUUGUGACUGCAAGGCUAGAGUACGGCAGAGGGGGGUGGAAUUCCACGUGUAGCAGUGAAAUGCGUAGAGAUGUGGAGGAACACCAAUGGCGAAGGCAGCCCCCUGGGUCGAUACUGACGCUCAUGCACGAAAGCGUGGGUAGCAAACAGGAUUAGAUACCCUGGUAGUCCACGCCCUAAACGAUGUCAACUAGGUGUUGGGUGGGUAAAACCAUUUAGUACCGGAGCUAACGCGUGAAGUUGACCGCCUGGGGAGUACGGCCGCAAGGUUAAAACUCAAAGGAAUUGACGGGGACCCGCACAAGCGGUGGAUGAUGUGGAUUAAUUCGAUGCAACGCGAAAAACCUUACCUACCCUUGACAUGUCCAGAAGCCUGAAGAGAUUUGGGUGUGCCCGAAAGGGAGCUGGAACACAGGUGCUGCAUGGCUGUCGUCAGCUCGUGUCGUGAGAUGUUGGGUUAAGUCCCGCAACGAGCGCAACCCUUGUCGUUAAUUGCCAUCAUUUAGUUGGGCACUUUAACGAGACUGCCGGUGACAAACCGGAGGAAGGUGGGGAUGACGUCAAGUCCUCAUGGCCCUUAUGUCCAGGGCUACACACGUGCUACAAUGG